This 512-nucleotide ribosomal RNA is filed under the name uncultured bacterium. Its description in RNAcentral is "partial 16S ribosomal RNA". It matches the Rfam family "Bacterial small subunit ribosomal RNA", at positions 28 to 523 of the family's 1533-position model. The record is from RNAcentral.
GACGAACGCUGGCGGCGUGCCUAAUACAUGCAAGUCGAGCGAAUCAAUAGGAGCUUGCUCCUGUUGGUUAGCGGCGGACGGGUGAGUAACACGUGGGCAACCUGCUUGUAAGACUGGGAUAACUUCGGGAAACCGGAGCUAAUACCGGAUAAUCCUUUUCCACUCAUGUGGGAAAGCUGAAAGUCGGUUUCGGCUGACACUUACAGAUGGGCCCGCGGCGCAUUAGCUAGUUGGUGAGGUAACGGCUCACCAAGGCGACGAUGCGUAGCCGACCUGUGAGGGUGAUCGGCCACACUGGGACUGAGACACGGCCCAGACUCCUACGGGAGGCAGCAGUAGGGAAUCUUCCGCAAUGGACGAAAGUCUGACGGAGCAACGCCGCGUGAGCGAUGAAGGCCUUCGGGUCGUAAAGCUCUGUUGUUAGGGAAGAAUAAGUAUCGGAGUAACUGCCGGUACCUUGACGGUACCUAACCAGAAAGCCACGGCUAACUACGUGCCAGCAGCCGCCGUAA